This is a long non-coding RNA of Gallus gallus (chicken), 1507 nucleotides long. The record is from Ensembl. Lineage: Eukaryota; Metazoa; Chordata; Aves; Galliformes; Phasianidae.
UUUCCCUUUGGUCUCUCAGGUCCCACACCCACUGGUAUUUGCAGCAGUCACUUCAUUGUGUAUUGUUACCAAGUUGGACAAUUCGCAAAAUCUGACUGCUAAAUUAUGAAGAUGAAGGCUCAAACUUCCAAACUCAGGCCAGAGAAGACAACUCUCUUGCAUCACAGUAAUGCCAGGCCUCAUACCAGUUUGAAAACAAUGAUGCUGGCUGUCCCAGCACACCCACUGUAUAGUCUGGAUUUGGUGUCUUCUGACUUCUGCUUUGGGCUUACAAAAGAUGGACUGCGUGGGCAACAUUUUUCCUAGCAAUUCUGCCAUCUUAGCAGCUGUGAAACAGUGGGUCAACCCCUCUGGUGAAGAUUUUUAUGAGUGAGCAUGUAGGCUUUUGUUUAUCUCUGGGUAAAAUGCAUAGCUAAUGGUGUUCACUAUGUUGAAAAAUACUGUUGUGUAGCUGACAAUAUUCUCUAUCAAAUAGUGUUAUUGUGCUCACUGUAUGUGUUUUAGUUCUCGUGGAAAUAAACAGGAGGCAUUACUUUCAGUGUAACAUAUGUGCAUCUUCUAAGUAUGGACAGAUAGGAUGCAUGUUCCAUCAUUAAAAGUUUAGUUAUCAUAUAUCUGUCCCCAUACUUUAACAACUUUUGCAUUAUAAUCAUGAUUGUCAGUAAAGGAAGGAUGUCUAGGUGGGUUCUUAGAUUUCCAAAGCUUCCAGGGAAUAAAAACAGAGACAGUUUUUUUUCCAAGAAUUAAUGUUAUCUUUCUGUGACAGUUAAAUCAACCAAUACAACAGUAACUUUGUGGUAUAAUGUGUAAGACCAGAAGGUACAUUAACCUUUUGUAGAAAUUAUAGCAUUUUGUGUUGAUUGGUCCUCCACAUGACAGCUCUUUGUUUGCAGUGUGUGAUCUCUUCUAUGAAAUAUGUUGUUUUUGAAGAGCUAUUGUAUAACAUGCCUUUCAGUUCACAAAGGAGGGGAUGGCAUAUGCCACGGGGAACUGCAAAUCUCUCUCAGAUUUUAUAAAAGCAAUUUCAUUACUGUUAUGUGCUUUCCUACACAGUUUUCAAUUUUUGAAACAGGGAAACUGCCCAUUUUGCUCAUCCAGUCUAAAAAUUCAGAAGUUGCUAAAAAAUUCCUCAAGCUGAAUAUGCUGGGAAAUCUUCACUUUUCCAUUUUCUUUUUAAAAUUCAAGGUUAAAGUUUUUAAUAAUUCCUGAGAAUUGCUAGUUAUAUUUGCCAAGUUUUAGACUCUUUGGUGGAAGAGUGAGCAUAUUGUAUUCUCUUGUAUAAAAUGGGAAAUGUUACUGGCACUGGUUUAUAUAUGUCAGGGUUAAAAAUACUAUAUUUAUGUCUAAUUACAAUCCAUUUACCAGCUUCCAGGUGAUAUGUGCCCUAGGAAUGUUAGAACUCCACAUAAUGUCCCUGAUUUCUAGAUUUGCAUUUGGAUAUUGGGAGUAGCUGAAAAAAAUGUUAAACCACAUGUGCUAUAAUAAAAAAAAAAACUUCCUGUUGCCU